GAUGAAGAACGUAGCGAAAUGCGAUAAGUAAUGUGAAUUGCAGAAUUCAGUGAAUCAUCGAAUCUUUGAACGCCCAUUGCGCCCCCUGGCAUUCCGGGGGGCAUGCCUGUUCGAGCGUCAUUACAACCCUCAAGCUCUGCUUGGUAUUGGGCUCUGCUGGGACCGGCAGGCCUUAAAAUCAGUGGCGGCGCCACUCGGCUUCAAGCGUAGUAAUUCUUCUCGCUUCGGAGACCCGGGUGCGUGCUAGCCAGCAACCCCCAACUUUCUUAGGUUGACCUCGGAUCAGGUAGGGAUACCCGCUGAACUUAAGCAUAUCAAUAAGCGGAGGA
RNAcentral lists this unclassified non-coding RNA (329 nucleotides) under soil metagenome. RNAcentral's name for it is "partial contains 5.8S ribosomal RNA, internal transcribed spacer 2, and large subunit ribosomal RNA". The stretch from base 1 to 120 matches the Rfam family "5.8S ribosomal RNA", at positions 35 to 154 of the family's 154-position model. The record is from RNAcentral.